AGUGAACGCUGGCGGUAGGCCUAAUACAUGCAAGUCGAACGGCAGCACAGUAAGAGCUUGCUCUUACGGGUGGCGAGUGGCGGACGGGUGAGGAAUACAUCGGAAUCUACUUUUUCGUGGGGGAUAACGUAGGGAAACUUACGCUAAUACCGCAUACGACCUACGGGUGAAAGCAGGGGAUCUUCGGACCUUGCGCGAUUGAAUGAGCCGAUGUCGGAUUAGCUAGUUGGCGGGGUAAAGGCCCACCAAGGCGACGAUCCGUAGCUGGUCUGAGAGGAUGAUCAGCCACACUGGAACUGAGACACGGUCCAGACUCCUACGGGAGGCAGCAGUGGGGAAUAUUGGACAAUGGGCGCAAGCCUGAUCCAGCCAUACCGCGUGGGUGAAGAAGGCCUUCGGGUUGUAAAGCCCUUUUGUUGGGAAAGAAAAGCAGCAGGUUAAUACCCCGCUGUUCUGACGGUACCCAAAGAAUAAGCACCGGCUAACUUCGU
Molecule: ribosomal RNA, 491 nt
Filed under: uncultured bacterium
Lineage: Bacteria
Description: partial 16S ribosomal RNA
Rfam family: Bacterial small subunit ribosomal RNA
Source: RNAcentral